GGAUGAUGAAUUAAUUACCUUGAAUGGUCCUUCCCAUUUGCUCCGGAGUUUUCCAUGCCCGAAAAGCUUCACCCUGGAAUUAAAAAGUAAUACCUUAUCUCCGGGUGUGAACUCCUUCUUCUUGAUUCUCUUGUCAUGCCACCUCUUGACUCUUUCUUUGUAGAUCUAUGAGUUGUCAUAUGCCUUCUCUCGUCAUUCUUCCAAUUCUGAUAGUUGCAUUCUUCUAUAAUCUCCAGCAACAUCUAGGUCCAUAUUCCAUCUCUUUAUGGCCCAGCGUGCU
RNAcentral lists this long non-coding RNA (280 nucleotides) under Sorghum bicolor (sorghum). RNAcentral's name for it is "long non-coding RNA (SBIC_LNC012389)". Lineage: Eukaryota; Viridiplantae; Streptophyta; Magnoliopsida; Poales; Poaceae. The record is from RNAcentral.